Molecule: ribosomal RNA, 502 nt
Filed under: uncultured Diversispora
Lineage: Eukaryota; Fungi; Glomeromycota; Glomeromycetes; Diversisporales; Diversisporaceae
Description: SSU rRNA
Rfam family: Eukaryotic small subunit ribosomal RNA
Source: RNAcentral
CCAAUAGCGUAUAUUAAAGUUGUUGCAGUUAAAAAGCUCGUAGUUGAACUUCGGGGUUUACUCAUUGGUCAGGCUUAAUUGUCUGUACUGGUGAGAUGAAUCUCUACCUUCUGAGGAACUUUCAUGCCAUUUAUUUGGUGUGGUUGGAAAUCAGGACUGUUACUUUGAAAAAAUUAGAGUGUUUAAAGCAGGCUAACGUCUGAAUACAUUAGCAUGGAAUAAUGAAAUAGGACGGAUUGAUUCUAUUUCGUUGGUUUCUAGGGUCACCGUAAUGAUUAAUAGGGAUAGUUGGGGGCAUUAGUAUUCAAUUGUCAGAGGUGAAAUUCUUGGAUUUAUUGAAGACUAACUACUGCGAAAGCAUUUGCCAAGGAUGUUUUCAUUAAUCAAGAACGAAAGUUAGGGGAUCGAAGACGAUCAGAUACCGUCGUAGUCUUAACCAUAAACUAUGCCGACUAGGGAUCGGACGCAGUUAAUUUUAUAAUGACGUGUUCGGCACCUUACG